AGGCUACGAAGAGCAAACGUCCUACUAUCGGUGUGGGACCCGAGCAAAAGAGGUUGUGCGAGAGGAAAGAACAUCGGUUCUUUCUAACCUACUUCUUCGGCUUCUAAGACUACCCUACUGUCCCCUACUGAGAUCAUAGUUGCGACCAUUCCUCCUCCAGCUCCAAAGAGAGUUCCUCCCACUCACAUCACUAACGUGUAUAUUCCUAGUUGGAAAGUUCUUAUUUCAAACAAUACCUCCAAUUCUCCUGUUUCUUCUGAGAUGCUCUAGAACAUCUUGACCUCUGCCGAUGAUUAUCGGGUGGCCCAAUUCGCUGCCGACACCAAGUGAACUCAUGCCUUUAUGAGGUUUAUGGAGAUGGAUUCUUAUCUUAAGGGAAUCUCCUCUGAUUUUGCUCUGCUAGCUAAUUCAGAGAGGGUUGCUGAAGAUAAGUUCAGGCUAUCCGAGGAGGCCAGUGUUUGAGCCUAAGAGGAGUAGAAGAAGGCUCAUUCUGAGGUUAGCGUCUUGAUCGAGCAAGAGGAGAAUUGGAAGGCUAGGGUUGCGAGCUUGGAGGAUAAGGUGGAGAGAUAGAAAGAGUUGGUUGUAAAUGAGACUUCUCAAAGAUAUCGAGAGGGCUAGAUUGCUGGAGCUGAAAUUUUCAAAAAAAAUAAUGUGAUUUUGGAUUUACGCUUUAACAAGAAGGUUUCUUCGGUGUCCAAGCCUCCUUCAAGCAAGUGAGGAGGGCCUUGAUCGAUGUCAAGAUUGAUCCCGAGGUGCUUACCCAUGCUACCCGGCUUUGGCGGGGAAGGACGAUGAAGAGUUGGAUAAGGAGGUGGUUUAUGAAGCUUAUCGGUCCCUAAAGAGGCACGAAAAGCUCGUGCCAAGGAAGAUGAUGAUGAUGUAGACAUCAAUACUUAUGUUGAAGAUGGCGAGACUUAUCCUUCCAUCGAGAUUCACAAGGUUUCCGAUGACGUGGCAGAUACUGCAACAAUCGAACCUCUUAUUCCUUCAACCGAGAAACCUCCUGCAACUAUUAUCUAGCAACCAGUAGAAAACCAAACUAUUCCUGAACAUGUUUGAUAAUGUCUAUUCUGGUCGUAUGUGACGGAGGAAUGUUUGAACAAUUUUUGGCCGUAUGGCUCAACACAAUUCUCUUUUUGUAGUAACUUUUACUUUAUCUCA
Long non-coding RNA from Tripterygium wilfordii, 1161 nucleotides. RefSeq lists it as uncharacterized. NCBI's taxonomy places the organism in Eukaryota, Viridiplantae, Streptophyta, Magnoliopsida, Celastrales, Celastraceae. The record is from RefSeq and is a predicted model, not a curated record. The transcript is spliced from 2 exons.